CGGAGGAUGCAAGUGUUAUCCGGAAUCACUGGGCGUAAAGCGUCUGUAGGUGGUUAAAUAAGUCAACUGUUAAAUCUUGAGGCUCAACUUCAAAAUCGCAGUCGAAACUAUUAGACUAGAGUAUAGUAGGGGUAAGGAAUUCCAGUGGAGCGGUGAAAUGCGUAGAGAUUGGAAAGAACACCAAUGGCGAAAGCACUUUACUGGGCUAUUACUGACACUGAGAGACGAAAGCUAGGGUAGCAAAUGGGAUU
RNAcentral lists this ribosomal RNA (251 nucleotides) under uncultured bacterium. RNAcentral's name for it is "partial 16S ribosomal RNA". It matches the Rfam family "Bacterial small subunit ribosomal RNA", at positions 526 to 779 of the family's 1533-position model. The record is from RNAcentral.